GAAACCCACGUGCAUAAGCACGUAUCCUUACCUGAAUACAUAGGGUAAGGAGGCGAACCGGGGGAACUGAAACAUCUAAGUACCCCGAGGAAAAGAAAUCAACCGAGAUUCCGAAAGUAGCGGCGAGCGAAAUUGGACUAGCCCUUAAGCUUUACACGCGUUAGACGAACGGUCUGGAAAGUCCGACGAUACAGGGUGAUAGUCCCGUAGUUGACGACGUGUGUUCAGUGAAAUCGAGUAGGGCGGGACACGUGAUAUCCUGUCUGAAUAUGGGGGGACCAUCCUCCAAGGCUAAAUACUACUGACUGACCGAUAGUGAACCAGUACCGUGAGGGAAAGGCGAAAAGAACCCCUGUGAGGGGAGUGAAAUAGAACCUGAAACCGUGUACGUACAAGCAGUAGGAGCAGGCUUUGUCCUGUGACUGCGUACCUUUUGUAUAAUGGGUCAGCGACUUAUAUUCAGUGGCAAGGUUAACCAUCUAGGGGAGCCGUAGGGAAACCGAGUCUUAACUGGGCGUUCAGUCUCUGGAUAUAGACCCGAAACCAGGUGAUCUAGCCAUGGGCAGGUUGAAGGUUGAGUAACAUCAACUGGAGGACCGAACCGACUAAUGUUGAAAAAUUAGCGGAUGACUUGUGGCUAGGGGUGAAAGGCCAAUCAAACCUGGAGAUAGCUGGUUCUCCCCGAAAGCUAUUUAGGUAGCGCCUCGGACGAAUACUACUGGGGGUAGAGCACUGUUAAGGCUAGGGGGUCAUCCCGACUUACCAACCCUUUGCAAACUCCGAAUACCAGUAAGUACUAUCCGGGAGACACACGGCGGGUGCUAACGUCCGUCGUGGAGAGGGAAACAACCCAGACCGCCAGCUAAGGUCCCAAAUUACUACUAAGUGGGAAACGAUGUGGGAAGGCUCAGACAGCCAGGAUGUUGGCUUAGAAGCAGCCAUCAUUUAAAGAAAGCGUAAUAGCUCACUGGUCGAGUCGGCCUGCGCGGAAGAUGUAACGGGGCUAAGUA
Molecule: ribosomal RNA, 1010 nt
Filed under: Vibrio parahaemolyticus
Lineage: Bacteria; Pseudomonadati; Pseudomonadota; Gammaproteobacteria; Vibrionales; Vibrionaceae
Description: partial 23S ribosomal RNA
Rfam family: Bacterial large subunit ribosomal RNA
Source: RNAcentral